CUGCUCCCCUCUUACAUGCACUCCUGGCAGCUUCCAUCUGACCUUCAGCAUUGCUCGCAAACAGCUCCAUCCCAUCUCAAUCACUCUCUUAGAUGUUAACAGCCCUGCAAUGGCCAACAUCGAUAUUGGCUGCCCAUAACAAAGCUAUUACAGUGACAUUUUGGUAGGAAAUGGUGGGAAAGCUGCAGCAAUCAGACAGAGCUAUAAAAGGUUAAUGAAGAUGAAAGGACAUUAAAAGCAGAGAAAAAGCGCAGGCAGCCAGAGAGAUUUUGGCAAGAUUUGCUAAGCUGCUGCCGAGCCACAUGCUAAUACAUUUCCUGCAUUUCCCAAUCGUUUCCAGUAGCCUCAGCAAAUCUGUAUCUCGGAGUGAAUCAGGAGGAACGCAGAGCUACUGUGUGGCUGGUAGCAUUUGCAGUCAUCCUCGUCCAUUACUGAGCAGAAUGUUCCUUUCUGAAUGAAGUUGGGGAAUAAAAGAUCAUUUUUGGCUGGGCAAAGCAGGGAGCUGAAGUCACGAGUGCUCGGGCUCAGCCAGGGGGGACUCGUGGAACUGAGGGGUUAAUGCUGUGCUGCUCACCUGGAGGAGAUCUCUUCCCAAAUCCCCCUGUAUCUUUGGAAGGAAGAUGUUUCACUUCAUGCUGCCAGGGCUGCUAAGAACAAGCAGUCCUCCGGUACCGCUGGGUAGGGCAGGAUGCUGCAGGGCAAUUGUCAAAGCAGGGUGGGGGAAGCUUCCAAAUUCCUCUCCAUCCUCAUCCCCGGACAAUUCCUGACACCAUAUUUGCUGUGUAAUGUUCAAAUUUUGUGUUUAUGGAACUUCAGCCAUUCCCUUUGGAAAGCCAUUAAAUGCCAUAUCAGAUGUCCUCACUGCACUUUUCUUUGUUGGUUGCCAUGCCAUUGUUUUCCUCAUUCUCUCUCUCACCAACGAAAAUAUCCCUCCUUCCUUACCAGCACUUCAGGCUUUCCAAUGACUGCUGCUCUUACCUAACCUCUCCCCUCCUCUCCUCCAGUGUCAGACUGGUGCUUAGCUAAGCUAUGCACACAUCUCCUUGUCAGCAUUGCAUACGUAAAUCAUCCUCUCCAGCACAUCCUCUCCAGCACACUGCCGGUGCUAUUCUCCAAAUUCCUGCCACUCAUCACCGCCAACUCAUCCUUCAUAUGGUCAGCCACCAAAGCUUCACCAUGCUUUUUCCAGCUUCCCCGUCUCACUAGAGAGCAGAUUAGUUUUAGAUGUGUUUACUUAGCUGAAGUAUUUCCAAAGCAAGCCUAGCUUUGUUCUGUUGCUCAUUUCUCCCUGUUCCUUCCAGUCCCCUAGGUUUGACUAUGCUGCACAUACUGCUGAGAUCAUUUCUGGAGGCAGGGUGUUUGGCCAGCUUUGUCGCCAGCACUCAGUAACCCAGAAGACACCUCUUUCAUCCCAAUCACUCAUCUUUCUGCAACUAUUAAUGACAGAAUGGCUUUGGUUGGUAAUGGGGCACCCACAGCUCUGGGCAGCAGUGCCAGAGCCUCACCAUCCUCUGAGUAAAAAAAUUCUUUCUAACAUCUAACCUAAAUCUCCCCUCAUAAAGCCAUUCCCUCUUAUCAUACCACUAUCAGACUGUGUAAAAAGCCAGUCUCCCUCCUGCUUAUAAUCUCCCAUCAAGUACUGCAAGGCCACGAUAAGGUCUCCCUGGAGCCUUCUCUUCUCCAGGCUGAACAAGCCCACUUCCUUCAACCUUUCUUCAUGGAAGAGGUGCUUCAUCCCUCUAAGCAUCUUUGUGGAAUCUUCUGGACCUGCUCUAACAGCUCCUCAUCCUUUCUGUGCUGGAGGCCCCAGGCCUGGAUGCAGUACUGCAGAUGAAGCCUCACAAAGGCAGAACAGAGGGGGACAAUCCCCUCCUUGUCCCAGUGUCACCCCUCUCUUGAUGCAGCCCAGGACACAGCUGGUCUUCUGGGCUGCAAGCACACACUGCAGGCUCAUGCUCAGCUUCUUGUCCACCAGAACCCCCAUGUUCUUUUCGGCAGGGCUGCUCACAAUGAGUUCUUCUCCCAGUACCCACAGCUGGGAUCAUCCUGAUUCAAGAGUAGUACCUUGCACUUGGCCUUGUUGAACUUCACUGGUUUCAUGUGGGCCCACUUUUAAAGCCUGCCCAGGUCCUCCUGGGUGCCAUCCCUUCCUUCUGAUCUAUCAGCUGCACCACUCAGUUAGGUGUCAUGUCAAGGGUACAUGUAGGCAAACAAACUUUACACCUAACUGAGGGUCAAUACAGUUUGACUUCGGAGAAUUUGAGCAACUACUUUCACCUUUGCCACUGCCACCCUAAGUGGGAUUCAGAGUGGCAAACACCCCAAGAUCAGCCAGUCCAGGCAGCAGAACUCUGGUGCAGGACAAUCCCCAUGCUGACACCAGUCUCAGCCUCAGGAUUUCUGUGGCCAUGACAAACAUCAAGCUGGCAUUCAAUUUAUGCGAGCUGCUGUGUCCGCACUGCUUUCAACCAGCUCAGUGAGCAAGUCAUCCCGACCAGCUGGAUUCAUGGGGAUUGCAGCCGGUCCUACUUCACACCAUGUCAGAUUAAACUGCAGAUUAGAAACACCACAGAAGAAAUAUUAAAAAGAGACCUCGCAUCCUAAUUGUUUCCUGCGAUAGGUAGGAGCUCAAUUUUAUUUUUAAACUCCUGAGCGCUGAGAGCCAAUAUUUUGGUGUGAAAAAGCUAAAGAAGCAACUGCUACCUCACCGUGAACAGGUAACAACACCUAGAGCUUAGUCUUACACCUUAAUUUGUUCUUAAUAUUCGCAUCGUGGCAGCAGCCAGGAGGCAUUAUCAAGCUAAGUGCUCCUUUGUGUCAAUACACAGCAGCAGAAAAAUCCCUCACCCAAAUGAGCUGUGAUUGUUGGAUCCGCUGGAAGAAAGCCACGCUCUCUCUUGUGUCGCAUUAAUGCACUUUUAGCAACAGAACUGAUUAGGAUUCCUGGUUUGGAUUUGCUCAGAUGGCGCUUGGGUGGGUUUUUAAUCCUCGGGAUAAGCUGGGGAUGGAGAAUUGGCCCUUUAGGUGUGAGGGCAUCUCUGGGAAACAGUUUGCACCCACAAAGUGAGGCUGGUGGCUGAUCUGGGGGUGGCAGCUGAUAAUGAAGUGCUGAUUAAGGGCCAGGAGGGGGGAUUUUUGGCCUUCAAGAAGCAUCAGACAUCUCUGCCUGAAUCUGUCCCCACCAGCACAGAAACCCAGUGCUGAGGAGUCUCUGUUUCAAAAUGGCACCCGAAGCCAAUGCUCUUUCUUAUUCUCAUGGGUGUCAGUAAGAUUUAUCCACCGAGAUCUUAUUUUCCAGCCUGUCUCCUGGUUUGUUUGCUCAUUCUGCACACUGGGUUCAGGAGCUGCUCGACCCUCCCCCAAAACUCUCCUGCUCGUACUGGAGGGCUAUAAAUCCUAAUGGGCUGCAGCCCUGUCCAUCAUCCGUGCUCUGUAUUAACCCUGUGAAACUUGGUCACCCGGAUCUGAGUUUCCCAAGCUUUGAAUCCUUAUCCACUGCUAAAACCCUUCAGACAGCCAAAGAAUGAAAUGUGCGCAGCAGCAGGCAUUUCUAAAGAAAACUUGAUGGCUUUCUGACACCCGACACAUGCAAUUCCCAACAGAGUUAAUUGAAGCUAAUUCCUCAAAGGCUGAGAUGAGAAUAUCCCCAUAAAUUAUGUUCCUGCUUCAUUCCAGACAAGAACGGCAUGAAUGCAUUACACGCAAUCCCUCAAUUUACAGUAUUAAAACUGGCAAGUCAAUCAAGGAGACAGCGUAAAGUCACUUGAAAGCUGAAAUUGAUGUUCAGCCCCACUCCGUCUCUACUGCAACCUGAAGGGUUUGUUUCUUUUCGAGGGCAUCUUUCAUAUUUCCACGCACAGCAGGACCCCCUUGGGAAGAAAAAGCCUUGUCCUCGGAUGCAACGUGGGUCUUCAGUGAAGAGCCCCAGCCUGGGGGUUUUGCUGGGGUGGAGGUUUUCAGGCCCUUUAAAGAAGCAGCUUUCAAAGGUUUCACCAGAGACUUUUGGGCUUUCCAAGCCACAGGGAAAACAAUGUGGGACG
Molecule: long non-coding RNA, 4040 nt
Organism: Gallus gallus (chicken)
Lineage: Eukaryota; Metazoa; Chordata; Aves; Galliformes; Phasianidae
Source: Ensembl